RNAcentral lists this ribosomal RNA (855 nucleotides) under uncultured bacterium. Its description in RNAcentral is "bacterial SSU rRNA". It matches the Rfam family "Bacterial small subunit ribosomal RNA", at positions 26 to 878 of the family's 1533-position model. The record is from RNAcentral.
AGGAUGAACGCUAGCGGCAGGCUUAAUACAUGCAAGUCGAGGGGCAGCGGGUGUAGCAAUACAUGCCGGCGACCGGCGCACGGGUGCGUAACGCGUAUGCAACCUACCUUUUACCGGAGGAUAGCCCCGAGAAAUCGGGAUUAAUACUCCAUAAUAUUAUAGAGAGGCAUCUUUUUAUAAUUAAAGCUCAGGCGGUAUUAGAUGGGCAUGCGUGACAUUAGCUAGUUGGUGAGGUGACGGCUCACCAAGGCUACGAUGUCUAGGGGUUCUGAGAGGAUUAUCCCCCACACUGGUACUGAGACACGGACCAGACUCCUACGGGAGGCAGCAGUAAGGAAUAUUGGGCAAUGGACGCAAGUCUGACCCAGCCAUGCCGCGUGAAGGAUGACGGCCCUAUGGGUUGUAAACUUCUUUUGUACGGGAAAAAACCCCUGGUCGUGUACCGGGGCUGAUGGUACCGUAAGAAUAAGCAUCGGCUAACUCCGUGCCAGCAGCCGCGGUAAUACGGAGGAUGCAAGCGUUAUCCGGAUUCAUUGGGUUUAAAGGGUGCGUAGGCGGGAUAAUAAGUCAGUGGUGAAAUCCUGCAGCUUAACUGCAGAACUGCCAUUGAUACUGUUAACCUUGAGUACAUUUGAAGUGGGCGGAAUGUGUCAUGUAGCGGUGAAAUGCUUAGAUAUGACACAGAACUCCGAUAGCGAAGGCAGCUCACUAAACUGUAACUGACGCUGAGGCACGAAAGCGUGGGGAUCAAACAGGAUUAGAUACCCUGGUAGUCCACGCCGUAAACUAUGAUCACUCGAUGUGUGCGAUAUACUGUACGCGUCUGAGCGAAAGCAUUAAGUGAUCCACCUGGGG